CGAUUCAAAACAAACUAGUAGGAAAAAUAAUAACCAUACCGGUUUGAACCGGUGCCAAUAAUUUUUUUUUAAAAAAACCCUUUUAUAAACCGUACCCCUUAUUCCUUUCACCUUAAAACUGAUCUCCUCUCUCCUCUACCCCUUCUCUGUUCUCUUCCCUCUCCGCCUCUCAUCCUUCUCUCUCCUCCUCCUCUCCUCCUUCAUUCUCUUUGAUCUCCUUCUCCAUCCUUCAUUCUUUUCGAUCUCCUUCUCUAUCCUUCAUUUUCGUCGUUGUCGCCUUCAUUCUCAUCACCUACUCUCUCUCUAUAUCCGUCAUCUCCUUCAUUCUCAUCGCCAUUAUUCAUCCUUCAUCUCCUUCAAUCUAGUCGCAACAAAACCACCACUAAGACCACCGCCGCCGCCACCACCACCACUAACCACUACCGCAACAACACCACCAACACCAAUAGUACGAUGACAUCACCGACAAUAAUUGGUUUUCUGGGUUUUAUUAUUCGAGGUAUUGUUUAUGAAUCCAUAUAGAAGAAUCAAGAUGUUCAUUUUGGAAAAUUGAUUUAUAUGUUGUAAUUUUUUUUUAUGUUGUAAUUUUUUGGGGUAUUGUACAAUUGUAGUUUAAUGAUAAUUAUAAAUCUGAUUAAAUUUCGGUUGAUUAUGACAGUGAUGUUGCAUUGAAAUAAAUUGUUAGAUUAUAUUUCUACUUCUAGUGAAAAAUUGCAACAAAAAUAAUAAUUUUUUUUUAAAAAAAAGUAACAUGAAAUGGCACUGGUUAACCGGUGCCAAUUUGCUGUAAUUUCAAAAAAAAAUAAAAAAAGUCGGGGAAUAUUAUUACCACCUGUUAACCGAUAGCAAUGUAAUUUAUUCCCACCGGUUAAUCGAUGGCAAUACUUGUUUUCCCCAACGGUUUUGAAAUAGUGGCUUUUAAAGGGAGGAUUACCACCCCCCAAAUUCCCAACGGUUCAACACCGGUGGCAAAGGGGGGUUUUCAACUGGUGGAAAAUUGCCUUUUUCUACUAGUGAUAAGAAGUUUACCAUUUCGGUUGAAUUUAUUGUGCUGGAAAUAGCGGAAGAUGAUAACAUACCUAUAAUUCUAGGGAGCCCUUUCUUAGCUAAUUUGGGAGCUUUGAUAGUUGUGAAAGGAGGUCUAAUUAUUUGGAGAGUUGGUAGCAAUAUGACUAGUUUUGCCCUUAUGCCGAUGCAUGAGUCGUUAUCUCUAGUGAAUGGAAUUAUGUGUGUCAAUUCCCCUUAAUAUAAUGAUGAUAUUUGCAUAGAUGUUUCUUCUACUAACAAUGUUCUUGAGGUUUUUGAUGAUGUGUCUUUAAGUGUUGAAUGCAAGAAAGUUAGUGAAGAAAACAAGGAGCCUUUGAAGCUUGAAGAUGAGGAGGUAAUUGAUAUUCCUCCAUGGUUUUAGCUCUACCCUCAAGAAGACGAGGUUGAUUCCAAGUGUGUUGAUGGUGAGAAGUCAUCCACUAAAAGGAAUAAGAAAGAAAAGAAGAAAAAGAGAGCUUUUAUAAAAAA
Molecule: long non-coding RNA, 1515 nt
Organism: Chenopodium quinoa (quinoa)
Lineage: Eukaryota; Viridiplantae; Streptophyta; Magnoliopsida; Caryophyllales; Amaranthaceae
Exons: 2
Source: RefSeq, a predicted model, not a curated record